Molecule: ribosomal RNA, 520 nt
Filed under: uncultured marine bacterium
Lineage: Bacteria
Description: bacterial SSU rRNA
Rfam family: Bacterial small subunit ribosomal RNA
Source: RNAcentral
CCCCCGCCCCCCUACGGGAGGCAGCAGCCUACGGGAGGCAGCAGUGGGGAAUCUUGGACAAUGGGCGCAAGCCUGAUCCAGCCAUGCCGCGUGAGUGAUGAAGGCCUUAGGGUCGUAAAGCUCUUUGACGGCCAAAAUGUAGUCAAGAUAAUCACAGUAACAGAAGUAAAGAAACCCCGACGAACACCGUGCCAGCAGCUCGCGGUAAGUACCAGAGGGGGUUAACGUUGUUCGGAAUUACUGGGCGUAAAGCGCAUACGUAGGCGGACUAGUCAGUCAGAGGUGAAAUCCCAGGGCUCAACACUGGAACUGCCUUUGAUACUGCUAGUCUAGAGUUCCAGAGAGGUGAGUGGAAUUCCAAGUGUAGAGGUGAAAUUCGUAGAUAUUUGAAGGAACACCAGUGGCGAAGGCGGCUCACUGGCUCGAUACUGACGCUGAGGUGCGAAAGUGUGGGGAGCAAACAGGAGUAGAUACCCUGGUGGUCCACACCGUAUACGAUGAAUGCCAGUCGUCGGGUAGC